This 592-nucleotide ribosomal RNA is filed under the name uncultured marine eukaryote. Its description in RNAcentral is "SSU rRNA". It matches the Rfam family "Eukaryotic small subunit ribosomal RNA", at positions 1 to 598 of the family's 1831-position model. The record is from RNAcentral.
AACCUGGUUGAUCCUGCCAGUAGUCAUAUGCUUGUCUCAAAGACUAAGCCAUGCAUGUCUAAGUAUAAGUAUUAUACAGCGAAACUGCGAAUGGCUCAUUAAAACAGUUAUAGUUUAUUUGAUAAUCGAAUUUACAUGGAUAACCGUGGUAAUUCUAGAGCUAAUACAUGCUGGUGUGCCCGACUUUUGUGGAAGGGCGGUAUUUAUUAGAUAACAAGCCAAUAUUCCUCUGGUCUAUUGUGGUGACUCAUAAUAACUGAUCGAAUCGCAAGGCCUAUGGCCGCGGUAAGUCAUUCAAGUUUCUGCCCCAUCAGCUUUCGAUGGUAGUGUAUUGGACUACCAUGGCGUUUACGGGUAACGGAGGAUUAGGGUUCGAUUCCGGAGAGGGAGCCUGAGAAACGGCUACCACAUCUAAGGAAGGCAGCAGGCGCGUAAAUUACCCAAUCCUGACUCAGGGAGGUAGUGACAAGAAAUAACGGACCGGGGCCUUACGGCUUCGGGAUUGCAAUGAGCCGAAUUUACACCCCUUAGCGAAGAUCGAUUGGAGGGCAAGUCUGGUGCCAGCAGCCGCGGUAAUUCCAGCUCCAAUAGC